UGGUGUAUAUGCAAGAUCCAAUGAUUUUAAAUCACAUUUUCAGAUUUGACUUAAUGUGUAGUGUCCAUCUCCAUUCAGUCCCUUAGUAGAUCAAGAAUGUCAUGCUAUAGAAUGUACCUCUUUUUUAUUGGAGAAGAUGAUUCUGUUUCCAUUUUGAUAUCAGGUUCAUAAGCAAGGUGUUGCACUUGGAAGAUCUGUUGACUUGACAAAGUUUGAUGGUUAUGAACAAUUGAUCGAGGAGUUAGAUCAGCUAUUUGAAUUCAAAGGAGAAUUGAUGGCUCCAAAUAAAAAUUGGAUGAUUGUAUUUACUGAUAAUGAGGAUGAUAUGAUGCUUGUUGGAGAUGACCCUUGGCAGGAAUUUUGUGCUAUGGUCCGUCAGAUUUUUAUAUACACAAAAGAGGAGGUCCAGAAGAUGGAUUCAAGUACCUUGAACCCAAAAAAUGAAGAUUGUCCUGAUAUGAAAGAGAAUGUCAAGGAAACAAAAGGCAGUCAAUCUGCAUCAUCAUCUAAUUCAAAAAACUCAUAGGCUUAUCCUGCAAUAUCACUAUCAAGGAAGAAUGUUCAAAGGAAAGUAAAGGCUAAGGAGAAGAUCACGUAAUUAACUACACGGGUCUAGUGAAAAUACUGAAGAAGUAUGACAAGAGAACAGCAGCACUUAUCAGGCAGUCCUUCAUCGAAAAGGUGCUGCAGCAGCCAUUCUUUACAACUGAUCUCCUAUACAAACUCGUGAAGGAGUGUGUGGCUAUGCUCGACCACCUCUUCCCCAGCAACAACCUGUCAAUUUCAGCAGAAUGCGACGGACAAAAUGGAGUGCCAAAGCCGACACAAUCAGGUGGGAGGGUUCCAGAGUUGGAGGAGAUUAAAUAUAUGCAGAGCUUAUACAUGAAGAGCACCGUAGCAGCGCUGCGGUCCUUGAAACAGAUUAGGAGCAAAAGUUCAACAGUCAAAACAGAUUAGAAAAUCUCGUGUUAUAUUGUUCUACCUUUGUUUUAAUAGUGUUAUCAUUUUGUUGGUUGCUUAUGAAAUUUUGUUGGUUGCUUAUGAAA
Molecule: RNA transcript, 1046 nt
Organism: Zingiber officinale
Lineage: Eukaryota; Viridiplantae; Streptophyta; Magnoliopsida; Zingiberales; Zingiberaceae
Gene name: SPX domain-containing protein 1-like
Exons: 4
Source: RefSeq, a predicted model, not a curated record